This 288-nucleotide long non-coding RNA is filed under the name Danio rerio (zebrafish). RNAcentral's name for it is "si:ch1073-291l11.2 (ENSDARG00000095477.4)". The record is from RNAcentral. Lineage: Eukaryota; Metazoa; Chordata; Actinopteri; Cypriniformes; Danionidae.
ACCACAUCUUUAGGACCCUAGUUUUUUUUGACAGCGUCACCUGUCGAAUUGGAUCAUGGAUGUGCUAAUGGAUGACACGGAUGACAAGGAAAGUGCCAUCGUACAUGCUCUGGGUGUCUUGAGGAGCUUGUCUUUGGAUGAUGCUGAGCAGGUCUUUCUUUCUGGUAAAGAUUAUCAUUACAGGAACUAAAGUCUACAGCCAGUCUGAAUGCAGCAACUGAAUAAACAGUGGGGUCUUUUUUUUGGUUGAAUUGCAAUAAUAAAAAAAGAGUGUGUGGAUAUUUAGAU